AUUGAACGCUGGCGGCAGGCCUAACACAUGCGAGUCGAGCGGAUGAAGGGAGCUUGCUCCUGGAUUCAGCGGCGGACGGGUGAGUAAUGCCUAGGAAUCUGCCUGGUAGUGGGGGAUAACGUCCGGAAACGGGCGCUAAUACCGCAUACGUCCUGAGGGAGAAAGUGGGGGAUCUUCGGACCUCACGCUAUCAGAUGAGCCUAGGUCGGAUUAGCUAGUUGGUGGGGUAAAGGCCUACCAAGGCGACGAUCCGUAACUGGUCUGAGAGGAUGAUCAGUCACACUGGAACUGAGACACGGUCCAUACUCCUACGGGAGGCAGCAGUGGGGAAUAUUGGACAAUGGGCGAAAGCCUGAUCCAGCCAUGCCGCGUGUGUGAAGAAGGUCUUCGGAUUGUAAAGCACUUUAAGUUGGGAGGAAGGGCAGUAAGUUAAUACCUUGCUGUUUUGACGUUACCAACAGAAUAAGCACCGGCUAACUUCGUG
RNAcentral lists this ribosomal RNA (484 nucleotides) under uncultured bacterium. RNAcentral's name for it is "partial 16S ribosomal RNA". It matches the Rfam family "Bacterial small subunit ribosomal RNA", at positions 30 to 507 of the family's 1533-position model. The record is from RNAcentral.